This 481-nucleotide ribosomal RNA is filed under the name uncultured bacterium. RNAcentral describes it as "partial 16S ribosomal RNA". It matches the Rfam family "Bacterial small subunit ribosomal RNA", at positions 28 to 507 of the family's 1533-position model. The record is from RNAcentral.
GGUGAACGCUGGCGGCGUGCUUAACACAUGCAAGUCGAACGAAGCAUUUGCGACAGAUUUUUUCGGAAUGAAGUUGCUUAUGACUGAGUGGCGGACGGGUGAGUAACGCGUGGGUAACCUGCCUUGUACUGGGGGAUAGCAGCUGGAAACGGCUGGUAAUACCGCAUAAGCGCACAAUGUUGCAUGACAUGGUGUGAAAAACUCCGGUGGUAUGAGAUGGACCCGCGUCUGAUUAGCUAGUUGGUGAGAUAACAGCCCACCAAGGCGACGAUCAGUAGCCGACCUGGGAGGGUGACCGGCCACAUUGGGACUGAGACACGGCCCAGACUCCUACGGGAGGCAGCAGUGGGGAAUAUUGCACAAUGGAGGAAACUCUGAUGCAGCGGCGCCGCGUGAGUGAAGAAGUAAUUCGUUAUGUAAAGCUCUAUCAGCAGGGAAGAUAGUGACGGUACCUGACUAAGAAGCUCCGGCUAAAUACGUG